RNAcentral lists this ribosomal RNA (514 nucleotides) under uncultured bacterium. RNAcentral's name for it is "partial 16S ribosomal RNA". It matches the Rfam family "Bacterial small subunit ribosomal RNA", at positions 29 to 523 of the family's 1533-position model. The record is from RNAcentral.
AGCGAACGCUGGCGGCGUGCUUAACACAUGCAAGUCGAACGUGAAAUGUAGCAAUACAGAGUAAAGUGGCGUACGGGUGAGUAACACGUGGGUAAUCUACCAAAGAGCCUGGAAUAACCGACCGAAAGGUUGGCUAAUACUGGAUAGUUCAAAUGAAAUAUAAUGUUUCGAUUGGGAAAGGGAGCGAGCAAUCGCCUUCACUUUUUGAUGAGCCCGCGUCUGAUUAGCUAGUUGGUAGGGUAAUGGCCUACCAAGGCGACGAUCAGUAGCUGGUCGGAGAGGAUGAUCAGCCACACUGGAACUGAAACACGGUCCAGACUCCUACGGGAGGCAGCAGUGGGGAAUCUUGCGCAAUGGACGAAAGUCUGACGCAGCCACGCCGAGUGAGUGAGGAAGGCCUUCGGGUUGUAAAGCUUUGUCGGAAGGGACAAAAACGUUUAAGGUUAAUAGCCUUAGAUCUUGAUGGUACCUUCAAAGGAAGCACCGGCUAACUUCGUGCCAGCAGCCGCCGUAA